UAGGGAAUCUUCGGCAAUGGACGAAAGUCUGACCGAGCAACGCCGCGUGAGUGAAGAAGGUUUUCGGAUCGUAAAACUCUGUUGUUAGAGAAGAACAAGGACGUUAGUAACUGAACGUCCCCUGACGGUAUCUAACCAGAAAGCCACGGCUAACUACGUGCUAGCAGCCGCGGUAAUACGUAGGUGGCAAGAGUUGUCCGGAUUUAUUGGGCGUAAAGCGAGCGCAGGCGGUUUCUUAAGUCUGAUGUGAAAGCCCCCGGCUCAACCGGGGAGGGUCAUUGGAAACUGGGAAGCUUGAGUGCAGAAGAGGAGAGUGGAAUUCCGUGUGUAGCGGUGAAGUGCGUAGAUAUAUGAAGGAACACCAGUGGCGAAGGCGGCUCUCUGGUCUGUAACUGACGCUGAGGCUCGAAAGCGUGGGGAGCAAACAGG
This 429-nucleotide ribosomal RNA is filed under the name Gemmatimonadota bacterium. Its description in RNAcentral is "Gemmatimonadetes bacterium partial 16S ribosomal RNA". It matches the Rfam family "Bacterial small subunit ribosomal RNA", at positions 355 to 776 of the family's 1533-position model. Lineage: Bacteria; Pseudomonadati; Gemmatimonadota. The record is from RNAcentral.